GAAUUCGCCCUUAGAGUUUGAUCCUGGCUCAGGAUGAACGCUAGCUACAGGCUUAACACAUGCAAGUCGAACGAAGCACUUAUUCACGAUCUCUUCGGAGUGACGAAUCUGUGACUGAGUGGCGGACGGGUGAGUAACGCGUGGGUAACCUACCUUACACAGGGGAAUAACAGUUGGAAACGACUGCUAAUGCCGCAUAAGCGCACAGUGCCGCAUGGUACGGUGUGAAAAACUCCGGUGGUGUAAGAUGGACCCGCGUCUGAUUAGCUAGUUGGUGAGGUAACGGCCCACCAAGGCAACGAUCAGUAGCCGGCUUGAGAGAGUGAACGGCCACAUUGGAACUGAGACACGGUCCAAACUCCUACGGGAGGCAGCAGUGGGGAAUAUUGCACAAUGGGCGAAAGCCUGAUGCAGCGACGCCGCGUGAAGGAAGAAGUAUUUCGGUAUGUAAACUUCUAUCAGCAGGGAAGAUAAUGACGGUACCUGACUAAGAAGCUCCGGCUAAAUACGUGCCAGCAGCCGCGGUAAUACGUAUGGAGCAAGCGUUAUCCGGAUUUACUGGGUGUAAAGGGUGCGCAGGUGGUCUGGUAAGUCAGAAGUGAAAACCCGGGGCUCAACCCCGUGGAUUGCUUUUGAAACUAUUAGACUAGAGUCCAGGAGAGGUAAGCGGAAUUCCUAGUGUAGCGGUGAAAUGCGUAGAUAUUAGGAGGAACACCAGUGGCGAAGGCGGCUUACUGGACUGGUACUGACACUGAGGCACGAAAGCGUGGGGAGCAAACAGGAUUAGAUACCCU
RNAcentral lists this ribosomal RNA (794 nucleotides) under uncultured bacterium. Its description in RNAcentral is "bacterial SSU rRNA". It matches the Rfam family "Bacterial small subunit ribosomal RNA", at positions 1 to 788 of the family's 1533-position model. The record is from RNAcentral.